CCUACGGGGGGCAGCAGUGGGGAAUAUUGGACAAUGGGGGGAACCCUGAUCCAGCCAUGCCGCGUGUGUGAAGAAGGCCCUCGGGUUGUAAAGCACUUUCAGUGAGGAAGAACGCCUGGUGGUUAAUACCCAUCAGGAAAGACAUCACUCACAGAAGAAGCACCGGCUAACUCCGUGCCAGCAGCCGCGGUAAUACGGAGGGUGCGAGCGUUAAUCGGAAUUACUGGGCGUAAAGCGCGCGUAGGUGGCUUGAUAAGCCGGUUGUGAAAGCCCCGGGCUCAACCUGGGAACGGCAUCCGGAACUGUCAAGCUAGAGUGCAGGAGAGGAAGGUAGAAUUCCCGGUGUAGCGGUGAAAUGCGUAGAGAUCGGGAGCAAUACCAGUGGCGAAGGCGGCCUUCUGGCUGACACUGACACUGAGGUGCGAAAGCGUGGGUAGCAAACAGGAUUAGAUACCCGAGUAGUC
RNAcentral lists this ribosomal RNA (464 nucleotides) under Vreelandella stevensii. RNAcentral's name for it is "partial 16S ribosomal RNA". It matches the Rfam family "Bacterial small subunit ribosomal RNA", at positions 338 to 795 of the family's 1533-position model. Lineage: Bacteria; Pseudomonadati; Pseudomonadota; Gammaproteobacteria; Oceanospirillales; Halomonadaceae. The record is from RNAcentral.